RNAcentral lists this ribosomal RNA (781 nucleotides) under Pterostichus niger. Its description in RNAcentral is "partial 16S rRNA". The stretch from base 1 to 553 matches the Rfam family "Bacterial large subunit ribosomal RNA", at positions 1907 to 2925 of the family's 2925-position model. The record is from RNAcentral. Lineage: Eukaryota; Metazoa; Arthropoda; Insecta; Coleoptera; Carabidae.
GCCCACUGAAAUUUUUAAAUGGCCGCAGUAAUUUGACUGUGCAAAGGUAGCAUAAUCAUUAGUUUUUUAAUUAAAAGCUUGUAUGAAAGGUUGGACGAAGUAAAAUCUGUCUCUAUUUAAUUUAUAUUAGAAUUUAAUUUUUAAGUUAAAAAGCUUAAAUUUUUAUAAAAGACGAGAAGACCCUAUAGAACUUUAUAAUUCAUUUAAUAUAAUAAAUUAGGAUUUAUUUAAGUUUUAUUAAUAUAAUUAUUUUAUUGGGGUAAUAUAAAGAUUAAAAUAAUUCUUUUUUAUUAUUUACAUUUAUUUAUGGUAUAUAAAGGAUCCAUUUUUAGUGAUUAUAAGAUUAAGUUACCUUAGGGAUAACAGCGUAAUUUUUUUAGAGAGUUCAUAUCGAUAAAAAAGUUUGCGACCUCGAUGUUGGAUUAAAGAUUAGUUUAGGUGUAGAUGUUUAAAUUUUUGGUCUGUUCGACCAUUAAAUCUUUACAUGAUCUGAGUUCAGACCGGUGUAAGCCAGGUCGGUUUCUAUCUUUAUUAAAUUUAAAUAUUUUAGUACGAAAGGACCAAAUAUUUAAUAUAUAUAUAUUUUUAUUUUUGAAUAUUAAUAAUUAUUUUGGCAGAUUAGUGCAAUGAAUUUAGAAUUCAAAUAUGUAGUUAUAUUACAAAUAAUACUUGUUUUAUAUAGAUAUAUUAUUUUCUUUAAUUUGUAUAAUAUUAUUAGUAAUUUGUAUUUUAGUAGGGGUUGCUUUUUUAACUUUAUUAGAACGUAAAGUAUUAGGUUAUA